GGGAGUGUACUGAUGUAUAUGUACAGGAGGGAGGGCAGCGUGAUUCAGAACAGGAUUUUAUAUUGCAGAGAAGGGCGUGGUCAGGUCACAACUCAGAUCUUCUUGUACUUGUGCCAGCAGAUGAGCAUGUCCACGCAGCGCGGGAAGAUGUAUAAACGGCACCCCCUCCUCCCAUCCCCGCCUCGGCGCCUCCGCCGCCUGCCGCCGGCCCCGGUCGGGACGCGCACUGCCCCAUGCGGAGCGGCUCCAAGAACUAAAAACAGUCCUCCUCUACAAGUCGAUCGCAGGCGGCGGUACGGAGCAAUCGAGCAGAGCCUCUCUGCUGCAGAGGAGGAGACGCCGCCCCACCCCACUCUAGUUUUCGCCGCCGCAUCGCGGACGACGCGGGGUUGUUUGGAUUGGAUAAGCUCUACCGUGUACUACGCGGUG
Molecule: unclassified non-coding RNA, 429 nt
Filed under: Zea mays
Lineage: Eukaryota; Viridiplantae; Streptophyta; Magnoliopsida; Poales; Poaceae
Description: misc RNA Zm00001eb393880
Source: RNAcentral